GCCCCGGCUGGGCGACGGGCCCCCGCUCCCUUACGAGGGGCCGCGCGCCCGGCUGCCCCUGCCUCCGGCGGGGUGUGAACCGGCCCGGCGACGCCAGCAAGGGCCGCCCUGGCCCCAGCGGGCGUGAAUUGGGCCACGCACUCGGCUGGCUGCAGGCAAAGUGCGGGGAUUUGCCAGGACAGUAGUAUAGUUCUGAUGAGCAAGCUAGCUCUCUUGCUAUCCCAGAGGCAAGAUUGAAGAAAAGGUUUGAAAGAAGCAAAGUACUACCGUGAGUGGCAGAACUGUCUUCGGGUGAAGAGGUAAACCUGCAUGGACCCCAGGCUGCAGAGGGCAAACAGGCAGAACUUUGACACAGCUCUGAAAGAGGCGGACAGCGCAACACAAUGGGGCAUCCCAUUAUGCGACAUCCUGAGGUUUUCACUGAAAACGCUGCUUCUGGUUCUUGCUUCAGGACAGAAAAGGCAGUAACUGGGUCAAUGACAAAAGUAUUAAACAGCUUAAGGCAAUGAACCGACCCCUGCAGAAUCUCACUAGCAACACCACGCACUCUCUAUGGGAGUGAACUGUCAGCACUUAAGGAUAACUGUCUCUUGAACAAGGUGGCAUGCACAUCACGGAGCUGGAUGGUAUUCUCCACCUCAUACCUGAAGACUAUUACUGGAUGAACUGUUCAUAGCAUUUUGGGUCUGAGACAGGAAAGAGCUACCUAAGCAAGUCAGGUAUUCUGCUCUCAGCAACUUGGGAGAAACGUGAUUGCUAGAUAAACAAGGAUGUUUUGACAGUUGCUUUCUUAAUGUGUUUCCAAACAGUUGAAAUAGCUUUUGGCCUGUGUUAGUCUUUUUUUUUUUUUUUAAAUCUUGCUAGUAUUUACACAAAUUAUUAAUUUAGAGAUGUAGAUGGAAGGAUUUAUUUUGUCUAGCCACACAAUCUCUUGAGGGGAGGGGUCUUUUAUUUUAAUGGGUUUCCAACUAUUUUAUUAACUUUAAAAACCCUUUCGUCCAAAUUUCUGAACUUGUUUCAUGAACCUAUUGAUGUAUGUUCAGAUACUGGAGGCCUAAGUUGUUUUUAAUUCAAGUCAGAACUAUGUUAGCAUAAGAAAAUGCUGCACCACAAGAAAAAAAUACAUAACCCACACAACGCUGCAUCAAGCUAGAAGGCCUGCUUAUACACCCCCCGUUCUUCUCUUUGGCCCAGUGAAGAGUGGAUUUCACAGAUGACAACUGCAAAACCACAUUAAGGGGAAGCUCCAGGCUGCCCACCCCACCCAAUGGAGAUGGAAAAGCUCUGUCAUUUAUAAACCU
Molecule: non-coding RNA, 1301 nt
Organism: Pelodiscus sinensis (Chinese soft-shelled turtle)
Lineage: Eukaryota; Metazoa; Chordata; Testudines; Trionychidae
Source: RefSeq, a predicted model, not a curated record